This 249-nucleotide ribosomal RNA is filed under the name uncultured bacterium. RNAcentral describes it as "partial 16S ribosomal RNA". It matches the Rfam family "Bacterial small subunit ribosomal RNA", at positions 57 to 305 of the family's 1533-position model. The record is from RNAcentral.
GCAAGUCGAACGGAAAGGCUCCAGCUUGCUGGAGUACUCGAGUGGCGAACGGGUGAGUAACACGUGGGUAAUCUGCCCUGCAAUCUGGGAUAAGACUGGGAAAAUGGGUCUAAUACUGGAUAUGACCUUUCUACAUACGGGGUUUGGUUGAAAGUUUUUCGGUGUAGGAUGAGCCCGCGGCCUAUCAGCUUGUUGGUGGGGUGAUGGCCUACCAAGGCGACGACGGGUAGCCGGCCUGAGAGGGUGAUC